Molecule: long non-coding RNA, 856 nt
Filed under: Salvia miltiorrhiza (redroot sage)
Lineage: Eukaryota; Viridiplantae; Streptophyta; Magnoliopsida; Lamiales; Lamiaceae
Description: long non-coding RNA (SMIL_LNC009160)
Source: RNAcentral
GUCAACUGGAGUCUCAGCGGCCACGGUCUCUCUUGGAUCCGCCGGCGUCGUUGUUGUUCCAGAGUUGACGAGGGACGACAGAUAGCUUCUGCCGACAGCGGCCAGUUCGUUGGAGCUGCCCUUCCCCGGAGUCCGACUCGUUCUCCUCCUUUCUUAAAGCUAAGUUUUCUUCUAAUGCAAUCUAUGUUUCGGUUAUGCAACUAGUAGGCAUUGGUUAAGAAUUGUUGUGGUUUCGCUACUGUCUGGGAAGGUUCUCUAAGAUAGCUGUUGAGAAAUCCUCAGUGCAUCUAUCAUGAUACGAAGUCUCUAAAUGUCUUAUGCCUUUUAUGAAACACGUAUGUAUAACUUUCUACUUGAUGCAUAAAGAAACUGAGAUAAGUAUGAAUAAUGUUUGAGUAACUGAACUGGAAAAUACCUUGAUGUAUAAAUGUUGGUUGGCUGUUGUUGCUGAGUUAAAUGAGCUGGAAUGACUGAACUGAAUAGAUCGAAUGUUGUUGUUUUAGUAAUUGCAGUUGGUUAAUGGAAGGAGAUGGAACGAGUAAAGCCAAGCUUACCUUGAAGUGGCAGAGCACUGGAUUGAGGCCUCUGCUCUCCCAAAGUUUCUAAGUGUGGAAUGAGAACGAAGUGGAGGUUAUAUGCUGCUGAAAUCUGAAACCAAAUGAAGUGGUUGGGUGUGAAAUGCACACUUGUGCUAGUCAAAAAUGUGCAAAAUAGGCGGUGGAGCUGGAGUAAAAAAGGUACAAAAUAGGCGGCUGAGCAGGAGGAAGAGUGCAGUGGUGAAUAAAUGAGAUAUAUUCGUAUAUCUCGGUGCUUUUAUAAUUGUAAUAUGAAUCGUGUGCUCGUAUCUGCUUUGAUA